Molecule: ribosomal RNA, 788 nt
Filed under: Myrmecridium juncicola
Lineage: Eukaryota; Fungi; Ascomycota; Sordariomycetes; Myrmecridiales; Myrmecridiaceae
Description: partial large subunit ribosomal RNA
Rfam family: Eukaryotic large subunit ribosomal RNA
Source: RNAcentral
UAACGGCGAGUGAAGCGGCAACAGCUCAAAUUUGAAAUCUGGCGCAAGCCCGAGUUGUAAUUUGCAGAGGAUGCUUUUGGCGCGGUGCCUCCUGAGUUCCCUGGAACGGGACGCCGGAGAGGGUGAGAGCCCCGUACAGUUGGACACCAAGCCUUUGUAAAGCUCCUUCGACGAGUCGAGUAGUUUGGGAAUGCUGCUCAAAAUGGGAGGUAAAUGCCUUCUAAAGCUAAAUACCGGCCAGAGACCGAUAGCGCACAAGUAGAGUGAUCGAAAGAUGAAAAGCACUUUGAAAAGAGGGUUAAACAGUACGUGAAAUUGUUGAAAGGGAAGGGCUCGUGACCAGACUUGCGCCCGUCGGAUCAUCCGGCCUUCUGGCCGGUGCACUCCGGCGGGCUCAGGCCAGCAUCGGUUCUUCUGGGGGGACAAAAGCGGCGGGAACGUGGCUCUUCGGAGUGUUAUAGCCCGCUGCAGAAUACCCCCGGGGGGACCGAGGACCGCGCUUCGGCAAGGAUGCUGGCGUAAUGGUCACCAGCCACCCGUCUUGAAACACGGACCAAGGAGUCAAGCAUUAGGGCGAGUGUUUGGGUGUUAAACCCGCACGCGAAAUGAAAGUGAACGCAGGUGAGAGCUUCGGCGCAUCAUCGACCGAUCCUGAUGUUUUCGGAUGGAUUUGAGUAAGAGCCUUACCGCUUGGACCCGAAAGAUGGUGAACUAUGCUUGGAUAGGGUGAAGCCAGAGGAAACUCUGGUGGAGGCUCGCAGCGGUUCUGACGUGCAAAUCGAUCGUCA